RNAcentral lists this unclassified non-coding RNA (1620 nucleotides) under uncultured fungus. RNAcentral describes it as "sequence contains 18S rRNA gene, ITS1, 5.8S rRNA gene, ITS2, 28S rRNA gene". The stretch from base 652 to 1620 matches the Rfam family "Eukaryotic large subunit ribosomal RNA", at positions 1 to 961 of the family's 3401-position model. Lineage: Eukaryota; Fungi. The record is from RNAcentral.
GGAAGGAUCAUUAAUGGAUUGCAAUUAGGGGACUGAUGCUGGGUGGGCUUGUCCACAUGUGUGCUCGUCUCUUAGCAAUAUUUAUCCCAAACACCAGUGCACUUUUGUGAAAGGGGGGUGUCCUUUGAGGGAGCGGGGCUGAUGUUGGCUCCGCCCCUGGGGGGGGGUGUUCCUUCUUUUUCUUAUACGCCAAAUGACAAUAUUGAAUGUGAUCAUGCUGCAAGGCAGAAAAUUGAUACAACUUUUAACAACGGAUCUCUUGGUUCUCGCAUCGAUGAAGAACGCAGCGAAAUGCGAUAAGUAAUGUGAAUUGCAGAAUUCAGUGAAUCAUCGAAUCUUUGAACGCAUCUUGCGCUCCCUGGUAUUCCGGGGAGCACGCCUGUUCGAGUGUCGUGAAAUUAUCAAGCUUGAAUGUGUUUUCUUGACUUGGUGUUGGGCAUUGCCGUGUCCCCCCUUGUAUUUGGGGGGAAUGGCUGGCCUUAAAAGUAUUAGUCUGAUCCCUCAUUCAAUAUUGGUCCCACUCAGCGUGAUAAUGUUUUCUGAUCGCCGAGGGCAAUCCUGUCAUCAGGAUGGACCAAGUCUUGUUUUUUGGGGGGGGGGGGGGGUUGCUUUCCAGACAGAUUUCUUUGAAAUCCGUCCCAUUUCCACGAUUGACCUCGAAUCAGGUGGGAUUACCCGCUGAACUUAAGCAUAUCAAUAAGCGGAGGAAAAGAAACUAACAAGGAUUCCCCUAGUAACGGCGAGUGAAGCGGGAAAAGCUCAAAUUUAAAAUCUGGCAGUCUUUGAUUGUCCGAAUUGUAAUCUAGAGAAGUGUCUUCCGCAUUGGACUGUGUAUAAGUUUCCUGGAUACGGAGCAUCGCAGAGGGUGAGAAUCCCGUCCUUGACACAGACUACCAGUGCUUUUGUGAUGCACUUUCAACGAGUCGAGUUGUUUGGGAUUGCAGCUCAAAAUGGGAGGUAAAUUCCUUCUAAAGCUAAAUAUUGGCGAGAGACCGAUAGUGAACAAGUACCGUGAGGGAAAGAUGAAAAGCACUUUGGAAAGAGAGUUAAACAGUACGUGAAAUUGUUAAAAGGGAAACGCUUGAAGUCAGUCACGCUUGCCUGGACUCAGCCUUUAUCCCCUCGGGUAUUGGUGCAUUUCCUUGCAGACGGGCCAGCGUCCAUGUUGUUCAUCGGAAAAGGGGUGAGAGAAUGUGGCUCCUUCAGGGGAGUGUUAUAGCUUUCACUCGCAUGCGGGGAAUCGAUAUGGAGUGGGUACGGCACACUUCGGUGGUGCUUGUGUUGGCAUAAUGGCUUUAAACGACCCGUCUUGAAACACGGACCAAGGAGUCUAACAUGUCUGCAAGUGUUUGGGUGCGAAACCCGAACGCGUAAUGAAAGUGAUAGCUGGGAAAACCCCCAGGGGGGGGGGAGGCACCGGCGCCCCGAGCUGACCUUCUGUGACGCAUCGGAGGUAGAGCAUAUAUGUUGGGACCCGAAAGAUGGUGAACUAUGCCUGAAUAGGGCGAAGCCAGAGGAAACUCUGGUGGAGGCUCGUAGCGAUUCUGACGUGCAAAUCGAUCGUCAAAUUUGGGUAUAGGGGCGAAAGACUAAUCGAACCAUCUAGUAGCUGGUUCCUGC